UGAACGUUCGAGGAUCACAAUUGUGCGUGUGAUGGAGAUUACAUUGAUAAGUUAUGGAACUGAAGGCUCACAUGGUAGAAAAGAUACUUUCACUCUUCAAGAGGUAACCCGUGAAAUCUCGUUUAUGCUAGUUGCCUAGAUUACAUGUGAUUUUGUUACUGGGAUUGCGUCCGCUGCUUAUUAUAAUCCAUCAAUUGGUAUCAGAGCUCACUCACAUCUAAUUAGAUAACUAAGUUUUUCUUGAAACAAGAAUAUGGUGUUCAUGUGCGUUUUUUUAAAUUACAUAUAUAUGUGAUUUUCUGAAAAACUGCACUGUUGUUUUGUGAAUUAGCUAUGCAAAAAUUUUAGAUUAUUCUUGUAAUCAUGAGAUAUUUGUUUUCUUAUUGAUAUUUAAUUUUCGGAGAUCAGCGAACUUGAUGGACUCUGAUUGAGCUAAAAUUUGGUGAUUCCAUCGGAGUUUUUUGGAAGUUUGAGGUCGUUUGGACUGUAUUUUGGACGUUUUUCUAUUUUCGGAAAAUUAUUUCUUAAUAAUUUUAAUUUCUUUUUAAUUCAAU
RNAcentral lists this long non-coding RNA (554 nucleotides) under Nicotiana benthamiana. Its description in RNAcentral is "long non-coding RNA (NBEN_LNC010060)". Lineage: Eukaryota; Viridiplantae; Streptophyta; Magnoliopsida; Solanales; Solanaceae. The record is from RNAcentral.